This 985-nucleotide long non-coding RNA is filed under the name Nicotiana benthamiana. RNAcentral's name for it is "long non-coding RNA (NBEN_LNC028915)". Lineage: Eukaryota; Viridiplantae; Streptophyta; Magnoliopsida; Solanales; Solanaceae. The record is from RNAcentral.
GGCAUUCUUCAACUAGUUUCAAUCCAACUCUCUUCAUCUCCAAAUGAGUUCCAACUUGAAAUGGAGCUUCUAAUCAACAACUAAUUCAAUAUUGAAAUAUAUUAAACAAUUUUGGUACUGUUCUCUUGAUUUUUCUGGCCAAUAAUUGCACUUUUUGAAUCGAAAAUUUUUGGGUCUAAUUGAAUUGCACUUUUUGAGCCAACAAUUUCACACCAAUCUCUUAAUAAUCCUAAAAUAAUUUAUUUACUAGUUGAAAAAUGAAAAGAAAAGUUCGGAAAGUAACACAAAAAACCAGAAAGAGAUUUUGUGAGCAUUAACAGAGGAAGAAAAAUGAAGGAGAUGAAUAAAAAAAGAAAUGGAAAAAAGUUGGACAUGUUGCAUUUUUAUAAGGCUUCAAAUACAAAAGUUUUUAGUUCAUUCGCCUUAUUUGAGUGUAAAGGACGUGUGUGUCAUAUAGGCAAAAUAAUGUGUAAUAUAUAUAAUUUUGAAAGAUUGAGUGUUUAAAAAUAUUCUCAUGAUUAACAAAUAUAUAACAAAGAUUGAAGUACAAAUUUAUUCCGCUCCCAAUGAGAUGGAAAAUAUGUAAUCCCCUAUUUAGACUUUUGGACCCCGGCCCGGCUCAGGUGUUAUUCUAUCUUCCAACUCCACAUUAUGUCACGCAUCCAGCCAUCCAAACUAUAUUCACCGCACACCUCACCUAUAAGAAAAUUUAGAAAUAAAAAAGAAAAAUAAAGGAGCUAGGAACUAACAGUACUUUCAUAGGUAUUUGGUAGCGAGAAACAACCUGGGCAAAGAAGAUCGGAAAGUACCAUAUAACUAGGCUUUCAGGUAAUGUUGAAUGAUGAAACGUCCCCUCCAUUAUUUACUUUCCAAUAUUGUGUGGAACGACAACACUGUCCUACCAUAAUCAACCAACAGUUAAAAAAAGCCAUUGCACAUGCUCUCUUUUCUCAUUAUUUUACCCAAAACUACCUGAGCAGUAAAG